ACAGUACAAACUGAUCAGGCUAUGAAUUUAUUAAGCUCAUGAAGUCGGGCCUUAAUUGGCAACAGGUUGAUUAUUAUACCUGUGGGACAGUA
RNAcentral lists this non-coding RNA (92 nucleotides) under unclassified sequences. RNAcentral describes it as "NiCo sequence". It matches the Rfam family "NiCo (Nickel/Cobalt) riboswitch aptamer". The record is from RNAcentral.